UACGGAGGGUGCAAGCGUUAAUCGGAAUUACUGGGCGUAAAGCGCACGUAGGCGGCGUGUUAAGUCAGAUGUGAAAGCCCUGGGCUCAACCUGGGAACUGCAUUUGAUACUGGCAUGCUCGAGUUUGAUAGAGGCAAGUGGAAUUCCAGGUGUAGCGGUGAAAUGCGUAGAUAUCUGGAGGAACAUCAGUGGCGAAGGCGACUUGCUGGAUCAAAACUGACGCUGAGGUGCGAAAGCGUGGGUAGCAAACAGG
This 253-nucleotide ribosomal RNA is filed under the name uncultured bacterium. RNAcentral's name for it is "partial 16S ribosomal RNA". It matches the Rfam family "Bacterial small subunit ribosomal RNA", at positions 524 to 776 of the family's 1533-position model. The record is from RNAcentral.